ACUCCCUCCAAAAGGUGGGACAAGUAUUUGAGAAAACAUGCAUGCAAUAUCUCAAAAUCAUAUAUCAUAAGAUAUUUCUUUUAUAAUGAAGUUGAAUUCAUACUUGAGUAGCAUUCAUCAUGUCAUUUCUACAUAGACUCAGAUUUGGCAUGCCAUUAUAAGUUCACUUGAAAUCAUCUUUUGAAAAUCAUAGCUUUCCUCACAGGC
Molecule: long non-coding RNA, 207 nt
Filed under: Solanum tuberosum (potato)
Lineage: Eukaryota; Viridiplantae; Streptophyta; Magnoliopsida; Solanales; Solanaceae
Description: long non-coding RNA (STUB_LNC010688)
Source: RNAcentral